ACAGCUGCUUUGCCUCAGGCAUAAAUCAGAAGAGGAAAACCAGCUUCUGGACCCGGAGGGAGGAUGAAACGGAAUAGGAAUUGAGGGAAGUGGAAGGGAAGACUAAGGGACCCCUGGAGAGUCCCUACUAAGCCAGACAUGACAAACAAAAGUCCUCUGCUACUGGGGAAGACAGAACAGAGAAGCCAGCAGGGGAAGAAAAAGAUGAUGCUGUUCUUGAUGCCUCAAAAACGGCAAGGGAGAACCCAGGCAACUGAUAUACACACCCUUGGAACAAAUCUACCCCAGAAGUACAAGACACACACUUCAAAUUCAUGGAAUAAAUGGGAGCUAAAUGGAAUUCUGUGGUAGUACUGUCCUGCAGGAAGAAACCUAUGCCCCAGAAGACACCUAGCCUCCAGUGGAUUUGCAGUGGAUGCUUGGGCAGUAGCAGUUUAUCAUAGCUUCAGUGAGACUUCCUUGGUUGUCUCUCUGUAUUUGGAAUACUUACGGAUACUUUCUGCUGGAACCCAGAUUUGGAUUUCCUUUCCUGGAUGUCCUCUCUUCUUAUCUUCUAGACUUCUACUAAGUUCCAGUAUCCUUAUUGGUGAGAUAAAAGGCACAAGCAAGAUCAGGCAGGGUGCUUAUGACAGGAUGUGCUCACGUGUCUCUUGGUUGUGGCCAUCUCAGGUCAGCAUCUCUGGAGAAGUAGGGUCCACACAGGGCUCGGGGAGAUAGUGGGCAAUGAAUGUCCUUGUUUGGGGUUUGAUGUAGCCUCUAUGACUAGGAGGCUGACAGCUGGCAGGUUCCAUGAGGGUAAGUUUUGUUCAUGCUAUCUACACUAAACCAUUAGGACCUAGAUUCUAUUAUAGUGGAAAAUAAUAAGAGUGAAAAAUAAUAACAACAAUGCUAAUGGCCAAUCCUAUGGAGCCCCAAUGUAUAUGCCAUGCCAUGUUCUAAACACUUUACAUGCAUUAUUUCAUAUUUCAAACUAUUCUAUGAGUAGAGACCAUUAUUAUUCUUAUUUUACAAAUUAAAAAAAAAAAAAAAAGCCCCGAGUCUUAGAGUGACAAGAUGCCUUGUUUAAGUUUACUCAGCUGUGGACUGGAGGGCUGGUGGACCCAAUGAGUGAGUGAAUAAAGUUAGGUUGGAUGCCCAGUGUAGGUACUUCAGUUUUUUUCUUCCUUCUAAAUCAU
This 1175-nucleotide long non-coding RNA is filed under the name Papio anubis (olive baboon). RNAcentral describes it as "lncRNA (ENSPANG00000051278.1)". Lineage: Eukaryota; Metazoa; Chordata; Mammalia; Primates; Cercopithecidae. The record is from RNAcentral.